ACACUGCAGCCAGAACACAGUCGCCGUCUUCAGUUCGCGCCGUCAACUCCUCGAUCGAUCGAUCGCAUCGUCUCGGAUCGAAUAGAGCUGGGCUUCUGCUCCGGAGCUACAUCGCCGUACUUGUCGGACGAGUGUGGUGAUGAAAAGUCGCUUAGUCCGGGAUUCCUGCCAGAUCUCUAAGGGAUGAGCUGGCAUCCCAGGCUGGCCAUGUGGCGCGAAGUAUGCGCACAAAAAAGUCAAACAAAAAGGCGCAAUUUUAUUACGGGCAACCAACGACGAAACAAAACAAAAGCCAACCGAAAAGCAGAAACAAAGCAGCAAAAAGUUUAUGAAUUUUUUGUGCAGGCGCGUGAAAGAUGCAAAACGAGAAAAAAACAUGAAAAAAAAACAUUAAAAAAAACAAAAAAAAUCCAAAACAGAUACCGAGCUGUAUCCGAAAACGAGUGGGGAAAGGGGUUUCCCAGUCACAUAUAAACACACUUCAGUGCGCUUAAAAAUUGCUUUAUUGCAGUUGGACUAUAAAAACGCACGGCAGCGAACACCGCACAACAAAAAGGACGAGCAGAAGUGGGCAAAUAAAACGAAAGCUCUUAAACGAAAAACAGGAAAAUUUGCAUGCCACAAAAAUAAGCAUAAGGAUUUGCCGCGCACAAAGUAGAAGCAAAAAGGAAUUGCCCAAAUGCAGCCACAAAAGACUGUGGCAAAUGUUUUGCAGCUUGCCCCUUUUUCCCUGCAAUUACCGUCAGUCGUUGUCAUUAUUCAGCAGAUUAUAUGGUUUUGCUUAUUCCGGACCACCAUCAUCAUCAUCAUUAUCAUCAUCUUCGGUAAGUUAGACAAUCCCAUAAAAAACUGUCCAAGUGAGUAGUGCCACCAAAAGUUAGCCGCGUUGUGGAAAAUCCAAAACAAAGACCAUCCCAUAUUCAGCCUUUGAGAGUUCCAUGCUUCCUUGCAUUCAAUAGUUAUAUUCAAGCAUAUGGAAUGUAAAGAAGUAUGGAGCGAAAUCUGGCGAGACAUCGGAGUUGAAACU
RNAcentral lists this long non-coding RNA (1027 nucleotides) under Drosophila melanogaster (fruit fly). RNAcentral describes it as "long non-coding RNA:CR45361 (Dmel_CR45361)". The stretch from base 928 to 1003 matches the Rfam family "mir-1 microRNA precursor family". Lineage: Eukaryota; Metazoa; Arthropoda; Insecta; Diptera; Drosophilidae. The record is from RNAcentral.